This 203-nucleotide ribosomal RNA is filed under the name Hetaerina rudis. RNAcentral describes it as "partial large subunit ribosomal RNA". The record is from RNAcentral. Lineage: Eukaryota; Metazoa; Arthropoda; Insecta; Odonata; Calopterygidae.
AAAAAUUAUUUUACUACCAUUUAUAGAAGGUCGGUUUUAGAGAAUUAUCUUUUACUUUAGUAUUUUAUUGAAAUAGUUAAUUUUGUUAUAGUUUACUAGUACUGUAGAGUAAUGUUGAAAUAUUUUGAAAUAAUUAUUUUAGAAAAAGCAUACAUGUUUGUAGUACCUUUUGUAUCAGGGAUGAUUUAUUUUAUCUAAUAUAU